CCUACGGGAGGCAGCAGUGAGGAAUAUUGGUCAAUGGCCGGAAGGCUGAACCAGCCAUGCCGCGUGAAGGUCAGUUCCCUAUGGGCGUUAAACUUCUUUUGUGCGGGAGCAAUAAUGGUCACGUGUGGCCAGACGAGAGUACCGUACGAAUAAGCAUCGGCUAACUCCGUGCCAGCAGCCGCGGUAAUACGGGGGAUGCAAGCGUUAUCCGGAUUUAUUGGGUUUAAAGGGUGCGUAGGCUGUGAGGUAAGUCAGCGGUGAAAUGCCUCCGCUAAACGGGGUGAAGGGCCAUUGAUACUGCCUUGCUGAGAUGCGGAGGCCGUGGGAGGAAUGGGUGGUGUAGCGGUGAAAUGC
This 354-nucleotide ribosomal RNA is filed under the name uncultured bacterium. Its description in RNAcentral is "partial 16S ribosomal RNA". It matches the Rfam family "Bacterial small subunit ribosomal RNA", at positions 338 to 689 of the family's 1533-position model. The record is from RNAcentral.